Molecule: long non-coding RNA, 1428 nt
Filed under: Castor canadensis (American beaver)
Lineage: Eukaryota; Metazoa; Chordata; Mammalia; Rodentia; Castoridae
Description: lncRNA (ENSCCNG00000002332.1)
Source: RNAcentral
AGAGCAGGAAAGCGCUAUGGCAGAAUAGAGAAAAGGGGAGAAGGGAGAGAGGGAGAAGAUAAGCGGAGUUAGUGAAAAAGGGGAGUGUAUGUGCCAGAGUGGUCUAACCCCUUAAGAAAAAGGCCUGUAGAAGAAAACGGAGACUGUCAUCAGUCCAUUUUUCUUUAUACAUUUCUGGCCACCCUCUCCCCGCCGCCCUCUGUGGGUCGAACCGCGGAACCCUCUGUGAUUGGUGCUCCAGAUUCUGAAAACAGAUGCACUUUUAAACAUUGAGAUAAAGCAGCGACGACUUGACACUUUUGCCUUUGGGCCUGAGACUUCCCAAGUACAGACUCGGAGCAGUGGACAAGGUGCACUCCGCCGGUAAGAUUGGCGCAAGGGUUCACAGAUCCUGCUCCCCGCUGUCAGGAAGGAGACACCCCGAACGCCCCCCGCCCCCAACACCCGGGAAGGGACUCCAACUCCGUCCAGCUGUCCCCACCCAGGGUUCUCCGCACCCUCCUGCCCCCGUUCUGCGUCUUGCAGGGGAAAGGUGGAAGGAUGAGAUUGACCGUUUGUCCUUUAGAAUAGAUGCGUGUCCCGGGCAACCGUGGCACGUGCAGAAAAACAAAAUUCUAAGAAGGGAUCAUCAGAGAGCUUAACUGCCUCACUGGCACAGCUGUGUAAGGAUGUUUUCCCAAAGUGGGAUGAUGGUAACAACUGUAGCUUGAAUUCUACUUGAAUAGAGUUGAAAGUCUUCGAAAGAUUUGGAGCCAUUCUGGUUUUUUUUUUUUUUUCUGAGAAGCACGGAAGAACUGAUGGGGAUGAGGCUCCUGGACUCAGUGGGAAAGCAGAGGUACAGAUGGUGCACUUGGCGCUGCAUAAACUGUCACUGGAGCCUGAAGACUUUGAAGAAAAGAAGCCAUUACUAUCAUUGUAGGGAUACUGCCAUUCCGCCAGCCAGCCAGACCAGGAGCGGAGGCCACCUGGUGGCCGCGCCUUGUCAGUGCCACAGACCUUCCACCCCGACAACACCUGAGUACAGGUGGAUCCUGUGGGCCCGAGACAUCCGAAGUCAGCGAGAGCGGGACAGGUUGGGUGGCCCCGAUGCCAUGUGUUGGCCACUUCCGUGUAGACCUGGCCUCCCUGAGAACCUACCUUCAGGCACCCAACUUCGGAGGAGCUGAGAGCGCGGCACAGAGACCUGUAGCUACCCUGAGCUUCCCUCCUUGGGCCAAAAUCUUCCUGUCCCUAAGCAGGGACCAGGAGGCAGAAAGCAAGCCCUACUUAAGGGGUGGCAGGAAAUGGCCUUCCCAAAGCUGAAUAGGAAAGUCCCACUGAGACUUGAUAAAUCCAGAGUCUGGACUGCGCACUAUUACACCACGGAACCUAUAAAAACGGCCUUGCUGUUCAGAUUAUCAGAGUUGUGUAUGUAAGCAUAUGCCAUCC